CGCGUAGGCGGGAUAACAAGUCAGGUGUGAAAUCCGGGGCUCAACCCUCGAACUGCACUUGAAACUGUUAUUCUUGAGUGAUGGAGAGGCAAGUGGAAUUCCUAGUGUAGCGGUGAAAUGCGUAGAUAUUAGGAGGAACACCAGUGGCGAAGGCGACUUGCUGGACAUUAACUGACGCUGAGGCGCGAAAGCGUGGGGAGCAAACAG
Molecule: ribosomal RNA, 207 nt
Filed under: uncultured Bacillota bacterium
Lineage: Bacteria; Bacillati; Bacillota
Description: uncultured Firmicutes bacterium partial 16S ribosomal RNA
Rfam family: Bacterial small subunit ribosomal RNA
Source: RNAcentral